RNAcentral lists this ribosomal RNA (253 nucleotides) under uncultured bacterium. RNAcentral describes it as "partial 16S ribosomal RNA". It matches the Rfam family "Bacterial small subunit ribosomal RNA", at positions 524 to 776 of the family's 1533-position model. The record is from RNAcentral.
UACCGAGGGGGCGAGCGUUGUUCGGAAUUACUGGGCGUAAAGGGCUCGUAGGUGGCCAACUAAGUCAGACGUGAAAUCCCUCAGCUUAACUGGGGAACUGCGUCUGAUACUGGAUGGCUUGAGUUUGGGAGAGGGAUGCGGAAUUCCAGGUGUAGCGGUGAAAUGCGUAGAUAUCUGGAGGAACACCGGUGGCGAAGGCGGCAUCCUGGACCAACACUGACACUGAGGAGCGAAAGCCAGGGGAGCAAACGGG